AUUGAACGCUGGCGGCAGGCCUAACACAUGCAAGUCGAGCGGAUGAAGGGAGCUUGCUCCUGGAUUCAGCGGCGGACGGGUGAGUAAUGCCUAGGAAUCUGCCUGGUAGUGGGGGAUAACGUCCGGAAACGGGCGCUAAUACCGCAUACGUCCUGAGGGAGAAAGUGGGGGAUCUUCGGACCUCACGCUAUCAGAUGAGCCUAGGUCGGAUUAGUUAGUUGGUGGGGUAAAGGCCUACCAAGGCGACGAUCCGUAACUGGUCUGAGAGGAUGAUCAGUCACACUGGAACUGAGACACGGUCCAGACUCCUACGGGAGGCAGCAGUGGGGAAUAUUGGACAAUGGGCGAAAGCCUGAUCCAGCCAUGCCGCGUGUGUGAAGAAGGUCUUCGGAUUGUAAAGCACUUUAAGUUGGGAGGAAGAGCAGUAAGUUAAUACCUUGCUGUUUUGACGUUACCAACAGAAUAAGCACCGGCUAACUUCGUG
This 484-nucleotide ribosomal RNA is filed under the name uncultured bacterium. RNAcentral describes it as "partial 16S ribosomal RNA". It matches the Rfam family "Bacterial small subunit ribosomal RNA", at positions 30 to 507 of the family's 1533-position model. The record is from RNAcentral.